GGCUCAGAUUGAACGCUGGCGGCAGGCCUAACACAUGCAAGUCGAGCGGUAGCACAGGAGAGCUUGCUCUCUGGGUGACGAGCGGCGGACGGGUGAGUAAUGUCUGGGAAACUGCCCGAUGGAGGGGGAUAACCACUGGAAACGGUGGCUAAUACCGCAUAACGUCUACGGACCAAAGAGGGGGACCUUCGGGCCUCUUGCCAUUGGAUGUGCCCAGAUGGGAUUAGCUAGUAGGUGGGGUAACGGCUCACCUAGGCGACGAUCCCUAGCUGGUCUGAGAGGAUGACCAGCCACACUGGAACUGAGACACGGUCCAGACUCCUACGGGAGGCAGCAGUGGGGAAUAUUGCACAAUGGGCGCAAGCCUGAUGCAGCCAUGCCGCGUGUGUGAAGAAGGCCUUCGGGUUGUAAAGCACUUUCAGCGAGGAGGAAGGCCAAUAGCUUAA
This 446-nucleotide ribosomal RNA is filed under the name Serratia odorifera. RNAcentral's name for it is "bacterial SSU rRNA". It matches the Rfam family "Bacterial small subunit ribosomal RNA", at positions 21 to 463 of the family's 1533-position model. The record is from RNAcentral. Lineage: Bacteria; Pseudomonadati; Pseudomonadota; Gammaproteobacteria; Enterobacterales; Yersiniaceae.